GGUAGUGGGGGACAACGUUUCGAAAGGAACGCUAAUACCGCAUACUUCCUACGGGAGAAAGCAGGGGACCUUCGGGCCUUGCGCUAUCAGAUGAGCCUAGGUCGGAUUAGCUAGUUGGUGAGGUAAUGGCUCACCAAGGCGACGAUCCGUAACUGGUCUGAGAGGAUGAUCUGUCACACUGGAACUGAGACACGGUCCAGACUCCUACGGGAGGCAGCAGUGGGGAAUAUUGGACAAUGGGAGAAAGCCUGAUCCACCCAUGCCGCGUGUGUGAAGAAGGUCUUCGGAUUGUAAAGCACUUUAAGUUGGGAGGAAGGGCAGUAAGUUAAU
Molecule: ribosomal RNA, 330 nt
Filed under: Pseudomonas sp.
Lineage: Bacteria; Pseudomonadati; Pseudomonadota; Gammaproteobacteria; Pseudomonadales; Pseudomonadaceae
Description: bacterial SSU rRNA
Rfam family: Bacterial small subunit ribosomal RNA
Source: RNAcentral